AUUGAACGCUGGCGGCAUGCCUUACACAUGCAAGUCGAACGGUAACGCGGGGCAACCUGGCGACGAGUGGCGAACGGGUGAGUAAUAGUAUCGGAACGUGCCCAGGUAGUGGGGGAUAGCCCGGCGAAAGCCGGAUUAAUACCGCAUGAGACCUGAGGGUGAAAGCGGGGGAUCGCAAGACCUCGCGCUAUUGGAGCGGCCGAUAUCAGAUUAGGUAGUUGGUGGGGUAAAGGCCUACCAAGCCGGCGAUCUGUAGCUGGUCUGAGAGGACGACCAGCCACACUGGGACUGAGACACGGCCCAGACUCCUACGGGAGGCAGCAGCGGGGAAUUUUGGACAAUGGGCGCAAGCCUGAUCCAGCCAUGCCGCGUGCGGGAAGAAGGCCUUCGGGUUGUAAACCGCUUUUGUCAGGGAAGAAAUCUUCUGGGUUAAUACCUCGGGAGGAUGACGGUACCUGAAGAAUAAGCACCGGCUAACUACGUG
RNAcentral lists this ribosomal RNA (484 nucleotides) under uncultured bacterium. Its description in RNAcentral is "bacterial SSU rRNA". It matches the Rfam family "Bacterial small subunit ribosomal RNA", at positions 29 to 507 of the family's 1533-position model. The record is from RNAcentral.